AUUGAACGCUGGCGGCAGGCCUAACACAUGCAAGUCGAACGGUAACAGGAAACAGCUUGCUGUUUCGCUGACGAGUGGCGGACGGGUGAGUAAUGUCUGGGAAACUGCCUGAUGGAGGGGGAUAACUACUGGAAACGGUAGCUAAUACCGCAUAACGUCGCAAGACCAAAGAGGGGGACCUUCGGGCCUCUUGCCAUCGGAUGUGCCCAGAUGGGAUUAGCUAGUAGGUGGGGUAACGGCUCACCUAGGCGACGAUCCGUAGCUGGUCUGAGAGGAUGACCGGCCACACUGGAACUGAGACACGGUCCAGACUCCUACGGGAGGCAGCAGUGGGGAAUAUUGCACAAUGGGCGCAAGCCUGAUGAAGCCAGGCCGCGUGUAUGAAGAAGGCCUUCGGGUUGUAAAGUACUUUCAGCGGGGAGGAAGGGAGUAAAGUUAAUACCUUGACUCAUUGACGUUACCCGCAGAAGAAGCACCGGCUAACUCCGUG
RNAcentral lists this ribosomal RNA (490 nucleotides) under uncultured bacterium. Its description in RNAcentral is "partial 16S ribosomal RNA". It matches the Rfam family "Bacterial small subunit ribosomal RNA", at positions 30 to 507 of the family's 1533-position model. The record is from RNAcentral.